RNAcentral lists this long non-coding RNA (1327 nucleotides) under Solanum tuberosum (potato). RNAcentral's name for it is "long non-coding RNA (STUB_LNC009850)". Lineage: Eukaryota; Viridiplantae; Streptophyta; Magnoliopsida; Solanales; Solanaceae. The record is from RNAcentral.
UUACAUGCCUAAAACCCAUCUAAUGUUAUAAGAAAAUAUUAAAUAAAAUCAAAUAAAAUAAAACAAAUCUAAACUUCUAGGAUACAAUAUAAAUUUUGGAUUAUCUUAUAUUCUUUUAUUUUUAUUCACCCUUAAAGUUAAUGUUAAAAUUAGGCCUACUCAUAUUGUACUUUUUUAUUAAUCCAACAAAACAAUGACGAAUUGCUAAAUAAAUCUCAUUCUUUAUUUAAUAAAUAAAACAACAAUAAUUUCGUGAACCCAAUAAUUCCUACUUUAUCAUUAUUAGCAUCGAAAUCAAGAAAAGAACAACAUCAUGACCCAUUCAUUUUAAGACAUCACAACUAAUGAACAAAAAUAGAUAAAUAAAAAUAACCACCAAUAAAGUUACUUUCAUUCAUUAAAGAGAUAUAACACUUAACACAUUCUUCAUUUUAAUCAAAUUAUGAAUAAAAUAAAAGUAUAAGAAAACUUAUCAUAAUAAUUACAUCAAAUUCCAUAAAUAAAUUAAAGAGAUAAGGUAAAGUUGAACCUUAAAUGAAGAAAUAAGAAUCGCAAAAUCUGGACCAAACCUCGAUUAGAACGCUCACAAAGCUUUGGUGUGGAUGUGUGUUGUGUUUAUAUAAAAGUAAUAAAAAAACAAAGAGAUGAAAAAUGUUUGUGGGUAUACCGAUUGGUUUUUUUUUCUUCUUUCUGACGUGUGUGUUUGUUUUUUUUUGUUUUUUUUUUUUUGGUUGUGCCUCUGUACGUUUUCUGUCUCCCUUUCUUUUGUUUGUGGGAAGUCUGCUAAUAUAUAUAGGGUGUGUGGUACGUAUAGGGAGUAUGUAGUCCGUGUGUAUGGAUGAAGUGGUGUAGUAUAUAUGUUUUUAGUUGAGGGAGUUGAGUGGAGUAUAUAUUAUGGGAUCAUGGGGAUAAUGUAGGUAAGGGUGGGGUAAUUGGUAGAGAAAGUGGGGUGAGGGUAGUGGUAGGUUAUUUCUUUUAUUUUAAUUAAAUAUAAUAAAUAUUAUAAUAAUAAAAAUAUUAGCUAAUAAAAAUACAAGAAUAAAUGAAUAGCUAUUCUAAAUUAUAAUUAAGAAAUACUAACUUAUUGUUAAAUCUAAUUUAAAAGAAAAUACAUAUUUUUGUGUAACUUUCCAUUUCUUUUCAUUUUUAAACAAUUGAAAAAUAAAACUUACCUUAAAAAGUGAUUCUAUUCUUGCUAUUUUCAAAUCUUUUAAAAUAAACUUAAUAAAAUAAGAUAAAAGUCAAAAUAUUUAGUUUAGAUUAUAAAAAUAUUUAAGCUCUAAAAAUGGAGUUAAACUUAAGUUCGGUCAAAAAUUACGUGUCUACA